AGGAGAGGCCGAAAUGGAUGCAAAUCAGCUCACUGGACGAAUUGAAGACGAAAGUCGGACAUGUUAUUGUCAUGAUUCUACUGGUUAAGAUGUUCGAGAGAAGUAAAAUGGUGACGAUAGCUACAGGCACCGAUCUUCUCAGCUACUCAAUAUGUAUUUUCUUGUCUUCUGCGUCGCUUUACAUCCUCCACAAUCUUCACAAGACGG
RNAcentral lists this unclassified non-coding RNA (207 nucleotides) under Hevea brasiliensis (rubber tree). The record is from RNAcentral. Lineage: Eukaryota; Viridiplantae; Streptophyta; Magnoliopsida; Malpighiales; Euphorbiaceae.